AGUGAACGCUGGCGGUAGGCCUAACACAUGCAAGUCGAACGGCAGCACAGUAAGAGCUUGCUCUUACGGGUGGCGAGUGGCGGACGGGUGAGGAAUACAUCGGAAUCUACUUUUUCGUGGGGGAUAACGUAGGGAAACUUACGCUAAUACCGCAUACGACCUACGGGUGAAAGCAGGGGAGCUUCGGACCUUGCGCGAUUGAAUGAGCCGAUGUCGGAUUAGCUAGUUGGCGGGGUAAAGGCCCACCAAGGCGACGAUCCGUAGCUGGUCUGAGAGGAUGAUCAGCCACACUGGAACUGAGACGCGGUCCAGACUCCUACGGGAGGCAGCAGUGGGGAAUAUUGGACAAAGGGCGCAAGCCUGAUCCAGCCAUACCGCGUGGGUGAAGAAGGCCUUCGGGUUGUAAAGCCCUUUUGUUGGGAAAGAAAAGCAGCAGGUUAAUACCCCGCUGUUCUGACGGUACCCAAAGAAUAAGCACCGGCUAACUUCGUG
This 492-nucleotide ribosomal RNA is filed under the name uncultured bacterium. Its description in RNAcentral is "partial 16S ribosomal RNA". It matches the Rfam family "Bacterial small subunit ribosomal RNA", at positions 29 to 507 of the family's 1533-position model. The record is from RNAcentral.